AUUGAACGCUGGCGGCAUGCCUUACACAUGCAAGUCGAACGGUAACAGGUUAAGCUGACGAGUGGCGAACGGGUGAGUAAUGUAUCGGAACGUGCCCAGUCGUGGGGGAUAACUGCUCGAAAGAGCAGCUAAUACCGCAUACGACCAGAGGGUGAAAGCGGGGGAUCGCAAGACCUCGCGCGAUUGGAGCGGCCGAUAUCAGAUUAGGUAGUUGGUGGGGUAAAGGCCUACCAAGCCGACGAUCUGUAGCUGGUCUGAGAGGACGACCAGCCACACUGGGACUGAGACACGGCCCAGACUCCUACGGGAGGCAGCAGUGGGGAAUUUUGGACAAUGGACGCAAGUCUGAUCCAGCCAUGCCGCGUGCGGGAAGAAGGCCUUCGGGUUGUAAACCGCUUUUGUCAGGGAAGAAACGCUCUGGGUUAAUACCUCGGGGUAAUGACGGUACCUGAAGAAUAAGCACCGGCUAACUACGUGCCAGCCGCCGCAGUAA
This 493-nucleotide ribosomal RNA is filed under the name uncultured bacterium. Its description in RNAcentral is "partial 16S ribosomal RNA". It matches the Rfam family "Bacterial small subunit ribosomal RNA", at positions 30 to 523 of the family's 1533-position model. The record is from RNAcentral.